Molecule: non-coding RNA, 285 nt
Organism: Pelobates cultripes (western spadefoot toad)
Lineage: Eukaryota; Metazoa; Chordata; Amphibia; Anura; Pelobatidae
Source: the annotation of a GenBank genome assembly
GUUUCCUCCUGUGCUGCUUUGCCUACACUUCAAAACACGCAUGAAAGUGUCCCACAAUAAAUACCCCACACAGGGACAAUGCAGACAGAACACACUAACUUGGGCCAGGGUAUACUGCGGCAGGUAGCUGUAUUCGACCCAGGUGGUUAUAUAAGGUACAUAUGGAAACAAUGUAAUUUUGUAACAUGUAAUGCCAGCACAAUGUUUUCUCCCCUAACCCCCUUUUCUUUUCUGUAUCCCUAUCUGUUUUAAGACAAAAUAAAAAUUGUCAAAUUGAAAAACAAA